AGUUUUUUUAUUUGUGGGUUAUUUUAACUGUUAAGGAUACGGCAGUGCGUAAAUAUGCGAAAAGUCGCAGCCAAUUGUCAUUGCAGAGGUGCCGGUAAUAUCCGGGCGCCGAAUAUACAAGGUUCGCGCGCGACAAGUCAACUUUGAAAAAUCAUAACUCCGGUCCAAAUCGUUUCCCCGGGAUGAUCUUGAGCUUGUUUUAAAGCUUAGACGGUCUACUUUCAUAAAAUAAUAGUUUUGUAAUUUUUCGUGCGUUCCCUUCAACGCUGCGGCUCAAAAUAUAAAAAAUUGAAAUUUUGAGCUACGGCAACGUGGCAACAAUGGAUGAAAAUUUCAAAAUGGACCAAUUUCGUGAAUACCAGCUGAAAUCUGAUAAUUUUCUCUAAAUUUUGAGACCAAGAUCAUCUCUCUACGACAAACCGUUCACGAGAUAUGCCCGUUUAAAGUUUAAACUUUAACCCCCUCCCCCUCCCGCCCUAAUUAUCAAAAUUCAAAAAUCGUCAGUGUUUUGGACUUGGGAAGUGAUCCUCUAUCAACCCUGAAAAUAUUACAAAGAUUUGGCCGAGGUUGGAAAUGGCCGAUUUUGAAUAAGGUCCUUUCUCGCUCAAAUUGCGACAAAAAUUCCGGACCUCCUUGCGGAAUUCCCGCACUUUUUCAGUACUUCCAGACCGCUCUUAAAAAAUCAGUACUAUUUCCGGACUUUCCGGAAAUUUCGGACUUGUAGACACCCUGGUGGACGACAGUAUAAAAUUCUCACCUUGAUCCGGCGUGGAAUCGGUGCGGGCGGGCGGAGGGCGGUUGCGGGCCGGCACCGGGGGCGCCGGGUUGGGAUUGGGGUGGUUCGGGGGUGGCUGCGCGGGGGUGGGGUUGGCGGAGCCGUUGGUGAGGUGCAGAAUGUUAUGAGUUUACUCCAUGCCUUCGCCAAUGCAACACGGGUUGUUACUCGCGGUAAACCUGCAACAGAUAAUGGAUAUUUUUAUUUAGACUAAAUAUGCAUUGAUGGCGCAUGAAACUUGCAAAAUCUUGAAAAGUUACAAUAGAUGAGAAACAUGAUU
This 1055-nucleotide long non-coding RNA is filed under the name Bemisia tabaci. RNAcentral describes it as "lncRNA ENSSSA1UGG006630". The record is from RNAcentral. Lineage: Eukaryota; Metazoa; Arthropoda; Insecta; Hemiptera; Aleyrodidae.